Long non-coding RNA from Rhipicephalus sanguineus (brown dog tick), 673 nucleotides. RefSeq lists it as uncharacterized. The record is from RefSeq and is a predicted model, not a curated record. The transcript is spliced from 3 exons. Lineage: Eukaryota; Metazoa; Arthropoda; Arachnida; Ixodida; Ixodidae.
CGCUGCCUGUCACACCGACCCGUGGGACAGCACUUCAGCGUGCUCGGGCAGCGCCACAAAAGAAGAUUAAAGGACAUGGUCCUUUACGAUGUCAUUGAACAGGCCAUUAGGGGCAACGAUUCCUAUGACACUGCGACAUCUUACUCCAUUCGCAAAGCAGCUGCUGCCUGGCUCAAGAACUGUCCUUCAAGGAUAAUGGCUGCCAAAAGGAAGCUUGGUGAGGACGCUAACGACUCAAGCUCCUAUGAUUAGGCAUAUCCGAGGCCAGAUUAUACCAUCCUGUGGCAAAGCGACAACUGUGUUAUUGUUUCUCAGAGCUCUGACAGUGUUCGUUUGCAUAAGUUUUGGUUUGCAUCAGACUAGUCUGUUCAUUAAUUUUUACAGGGGCUCCUCAGCCUGUAUAGAGGCAAGCGUGGAGCAUUGCAUUUGUAUGAAGGAUCGAGGCAUCCUCGCAAAUUGUGAGCUUUUGAUGGUAGUUGUCUGACUUCAGUUAUUGGCAAUCACACGGCUGCCCCUUUGAAGUGGAAUCCAUAAUUUGAAGAUGUGCCGAAUCCAUGAAAAACAUAUUUUGUUACAACAGAAUGACUGUAACCUUUGCAUGUACAUAUAUUUUGAGUGCCAUUGUGUUGUAUUUUCUUUCAUGUAUUGUAUGCCACUCUGCUAAAACCCCGGU